Molecule: non-coding RNA, 26 nt
Filed under: Cricetulus griseus (Chinese hamster)
Lineage: Eukaryota; Metazoa; Chordata; Mammalia; Rodentia; Cricetidae
Source: RNAcentral
GAUCCAGGCAGGAAGUGACAUAGCAA